Motacilla alba alba is the source of this 4026-nucleotide long non-coding RNA. RefSeq lists it as uncharacterized. The transcript has 2 exons. The record is from RefSeq and is a predicted model, not a curated record. Lineage: Eukaryota; Metazoa; Chordata; Aves; Passeriformes; Motacillidae.
GGCCCUGAGGGGCUCAGGGAGCGGGGAGGGAGCAGCCCUCAGGGCGGACAAAGGGAGACCUAAAAGUGACGGGGGCAGCCCUCAGACAGGACAGAAGGAGCCCUCAGAGCGGGACAGGAGCAGCCCCCAGACAGGACAGAAGGAGCAGCCCUCAGGGCGUACAAGGGGAGCCCUAAAAGUGGACGGGAGCAGCCCUCAGAGCGGAUAGGAGGAGCCGUCAGACAGGGCAGGAGGAGCCCUCAAGAGCGGGACAGGAGCAGCCCUCAGAACGGGGAAGGAGGUGCCGUCAGACAGGGCAGGAGGAGCCCUCAGAGCAGGACAGGAGCAGCGAUCCGCCGUCCUAAACCCGCGUUCCCGUGAGCUGCUGUCCUGGUCUGACCCCAUGCUCACAGGCCCCUGCCUAAAGAGACAGUGAGAUCCAGUACCUACUGUGUCUUCAGCUUUUGAACAAAAAUUCUGGAAUGUUCACUUACAUGUGAACCAAAGCCAGGACUGCAUCCUUAGAAUGGUGAAGGUGAGAUCCAGGCAGGAGAACUGCAGGAAUGGAGCACAUGGACAAGCAAGCUGGCCCAGGUACAGUGCAAAGUAGCACAGAAGUGCAACUUGAGUUGAAGAGAAUAGGUCACAACUAGCAGACAUGUUGCUGUAAAAUAGUCCAAACUGAAUUUACUAAUCCAUGAAGCAACAAUCACUGGAAUUUGCUGGUUACCCUCUUAAAAGCAUCAGGAACACCAAGGAAUCAGAGAAUCCUCUCCUGUGCUGAGACACAUUCCACUAUAUCCUACAUAAUCCUAUUUUCAAGAGGCUCUUGAUGUUGAAAAUUCCUUUGGCAGCCCCAGUGCUCCCCACAAUUCACUGUAAGAAGAGCUGAGUAAGAGCAACUAAGUUUCUGUUCAAUUCUGUCUUACCUUUUACAUUAAAAAGUCACACGCAGGCAUCCUUCGUAGCAUUAAUGAAUUUGGUGAUUAACAUGCAGUGCUGUAUCAGUUCCUGAUACUGACCAAAUUCUAUUUUUUUCCCAUCUGUUCUUUAAUCUGUGAAAUUUGCAGGUACUCUUUCUUCCUUCAGCACUUCCACCUGUUACAUCCAUUAGCCCAGGUUUGGAGGGUCCUUACAUGCUGGAGUUACACAGAAGCUGUUCAGUUUUGGAAGCAAGACCUUGUCCCAAACAGCUUUUCCCUCAAAAAAAGUACCACUAUGGUAUCUUUUGAUCUUAUUUUCACCAUGUUCACUAGGUAUAAAAAAUUCAUUUAAAAAAUCCCCAACGUUACUAUGAAACAAAAAGCAGUUUCUAAGCAAGUGCUAUUUUUAGAAAAGCAGUAAAGCUGGCCUCAGUAUUUUAAGAAACCAGAUAUAAGACACUUAAAAUUGCUUUUCCUGACAGCUCUGACCUUUCUUUCAUUUUCAGCCCUUGACACAAGUACUAAAACUGAACAGUGGAUGCAAAUAAAUUAAUUUCUCAGGUAAUUUUGCAAAAUACACCUCAGUCUCACUGCUGUAAGGCUGUCCCUUGAACAGAUGAUACAAUCACUCAUCACUUCCAACACUACUUUGAGGCUGAUACACCAACUCACAUAAAUCUGCACAGGCAUUGAGAGUGAAAAGAGAUACAGUUGUACUUCAGGUGAUUCAUCAGCUUGUUCAUAUAUUGCAAAAUUUAUCCUUUUUAUUUAACAAGGGACAAUAUGGUGUCAGAAAUUAACGUUCCAGCUAUUUUGUCCGAACAAUUACUUCAUUCUGGUUUUUUAACACGUGUCUAUUUUUCUGGAGUACAUUCCAGCCAAGAGCCACCUGAUGUUUCCCUCUUUGGGAUGUGAAAUAGAAAACACUGGUGUACCUUCAUUGUGGGAUUUCUCCGAGCUGCCUUGUAACCAUCCCCUCUACCCCUUAAGUUUCACAGGCCUCAUUCCAUUUCACUGGCAGCACAUGGAGGAGCAGGAUGCACCUGCAAUCCUGGAGCACAUGAUACUUCCUUGAGCUGAAGGUUCCAAGCUGGCACGGUUCCCAGAGAACACUUCCCGUAACAACUGGCUGUUGUUUUCCAGCUCAGUUUACGAACAGCCAGAGAUUCCCAACACAUCCAGAAAUGCUACUCUGGAGUAACCUGAAACCAUUUGUACACUGGCAUGGUGGGGAGGGGGAAAUUGUCUGCAUAUUCUAGAAAUUAACAAAGAAACUGAAGUGAAAAAUACUCAAAAUGUAUGAAUAAACCCUUUCAGGAAAUGAAAUUCACAAGUUUAUACUUGUUUGGAAGCAUUUAACCACAAGCAGCUGGUAAUUAGUCCAUUACAGGAAUUUUUUAUCACAACCAACCAUUCAAUGAAUUCGUAUCACACAGUAAUUCUAGCUAUCAUGCUGAUCCUUUGACUCAAAAUGGUUUUGUAAAAGUUAAGGUAUAUGCCAGUAUUUUUAAGCAGAAUAGCAGAUACCAAUUUCCAAGACAGAGUUACCUGUAAAAAACAUUCUGAGCUGUAUAAACCAGUAAAAGCAGAUGCUCCUUCAACAGUUUAAGUCUGCUCUCAGACAGCCUUUUGUAAUUUCCUUGAUUAUUAAGAAAAAUGCCCUUUUUUGGGGAAAGGACUCAAACUACUUGAGAAGUUUAUUUGGAAGUUAAAUGUCUGUCAAAUAUUAGGCAUUUGUAAUGUUACUUCUGGUACAAGCUAUGCUUUAGAAGUAAAAGUUGUAGCUGAAGUUUCAGGAGAAAUGUCAGUUUGCCACGAUUAUAUAAUAUCUGACCAGACAACUUCUGAUUUGUUUGGUGCUUUAAAUACAGCCACUAGGUUAUGCUGACAGCCAUACAAAGUGAAUUUGCACUUUAACCAACAGCAGUAAUAUCAAGAUUGUGAACAGCUACAAAAUGCAGCAUUUGCAUUUUCAGUGCCAUACCAAGUUGAAUUCAGAACCCGCUAAAGACAAAGCAGCAGCUGGUUAAAAAAAGAAAACAUAAGUCAAAUUAUAAAGCUACAUAGUUUAGUACAUUAAAACAAAACCAAGGACAAUGGUAUUUGUAUAAGAUUCCAAAAAUAUACAGAUGGCAGGGGGGAAUAAUCACUGUACACAACUCUGAGGUGGUUAAAGUGACCAGAGAGACUGAACAGUGCAAGACAUGCUUUUCCAGUUACAAGCUCAAAACAGAAGUGCAAAAGAAAUUAAAGCUCUGUCUGAAGUGAUUUACCUUUUAGGAUAAGGAAAGCUUAGAAUAUUGUCAUCAGUGUUACAGAGAAAUUUCCACCCCGACCCCAACACAGACACACAACAUAGUUUAAGUUUUACCAUAAUACAGCAUUUCACUCCAAUGACGUCCCCAGCGCUUGGUGGCUCCAGGGACAGUUUGUAGGUGUUGGGUGUUGGCCCAUGACCCAAGUGAUGCACAGGCAGCCUCUCCGUUCUCCAGCUUUGGCUAACAAUAGAUCCCUGCCUUCCAGGCAGGGCGAGGGGCAGCCACACAGCCCGGGCAGCCACUGCCUCCCCAGCCCGCCUCGCUGCGAGGAAGCCGCUGUGCUGAAAGCAGAGACUGACUUAUGGCUGAGGAACAAAGGAAUUGCUUGACAGGUCUCUGUGCUCUCUCCCAGAGUUUGGAACAGUUUCAGGCAAGUGCUUUUGGCAGGCUGACUAAGCUGUACAUGCAUCUAUCCAUGCAAAUGUAGAAUAUGGCUCCCAAGACCUAGAACCAGGGUGUGUGCAUGUGAAGACUGGAUAGAAGGCCCUUCUGUGGAAGUUUACAAAAAUAUAUAGCCAAUACUGUAGCUUAAGAAGUCAGUUUUACUCGUUACAGAGAACCCCAAAAAGUAUUAACUACUUUUCAGACAUUCCAGACAAGGUCACUUGUAACAAAAAAGGUCAAGUUCUCAAAAACAAGGUUUUAAAAGCGGAUCUUUCCUUCAAGUGAACAGGACAUCUGUUUUUACUCUUAACCAUUUAGUCAGUUAAGACAAUUUAUUUAAGAUUUCAUGUGAACAUAUGCAUAAACACAAAUAAGUUUACUUUAUAACACAUCUGCACGGAAAAAAAAAAAAAAGGUUAACC